AGAGCGGGGAGAACGCGGCCAACAUCGCCAUCGAGUUGGCCAGGCACACGCGAGGCCCGGUUUAUGCGGGCGAUGUCAGCUCCGCUGUGCGGCUGCUGGAGCAGCUGCUGGACAUCCUGGAUGCUCAGCUGCAGGCGUUGCGCCCCCUGGAGAGGGAAUCCGCUGGGAAGAACUACAAUAAGAUGCACAAACGGGAGCGGACCUGUAAGGAUUACAUCAAGGCCGUGGUGGAGGCUGUGGACAACCUGCUGCGGCCCGAGGCCUUGGAGUCGUGGCGGGACAUGAACGGCUCGGAGCAGGCGCACACGGCCACCAUGCUGCUGGAUGUGCUGGAGGAAGGAGCGUUCCUAUUGGCCGACAACGUCAAAGAGCCCGCCCGCUUCCUCGCCGCCCGCCAGA
Molecule: long non-coding RNA, 399 nt
Organism: Lagopus leucura (white-tailed ptarmigan)
Lineage: Eukaryota; Metazoa; Chordata; Aves; Galliformes; Phasianidae
Exons: 3
Source: RefSeq, a predicted model, not a curated record